GGCAGGGUUGAUGAGGUCUUUGGUAUCUUCCAUACCACAGAGCUGUAAACAGAAAAACAAAAAACAACAACAACAAAAGCCUCACAACCUAAUUUUUAGAAAUGGUGCUGGUCAACAGGAAGAGAAGUUAGUUGUGGGUGUUGAACAAGAUGAUCUUUAAGGUCCCUUCCAACCCCAAAACAUUUUUGAUUCUAGAUUGGGUUCAUGAAGCCACAGCCCUCUUCCCAUUACAAGUAUAGGUAUUUUUAGCAUGAUUUAAAGAGUACAGAUGAUUGUGAGUAGCCAGCUAAAAAAGUUUGGUAGCACUGAAUAGCACUGAGUGAGAAAUGUAGCAGAGGGAUUUUUUUUAAAGAAGUGGAAAUAUAUAUGCACACACAUAAGUCUUUUUCUUUUGACAGAUUUUUAUUCAAAAGCAUGCUUGAAGGUUGGCUAGCAGGACUGGCUUAGCAAACAUCCACUUCUUGGAGUUGGAAGUUUUAAAUUAUUUUGGAUUUCAUAUGUAAUUUUCUGUUUUCAAGAAAAGGAAAUGAGAUCCUUGAUUAAAUUCUUUGUUUACUUUCUAACCUUAUACGGGGCUGUGUGAUUGUAAGUUGCUCUUAGUUCCUCAAGUAGGUUGAAGUAAUGACAGAGGGAUGGUUCUCUUUGAUGGCUUUAGUCAUCCAUUUGGGGAAAAAAAUAAAAUGUUACUUAAAUGUUACCAAUUAUGUGAUAACUGGGGAAAUGGACAAGCUGUUGUGUGAGAGAAUGAGAGCUUCACCUUGAGUAUUUUAUCAUUAAUAUUAAUUUACUGUUGGCUAAUAAUAGCACGUGAAGGGGCAAUUAAAAGAUAGUGGUUACAUACAGCUGUAUGACUUCACAUCAAAUAUGAACUUGCUAUUCCUCACUGACAUGAUUUGGCUUUCUGAGUAAGGCCAAUCCAAAUGUGGAAGUGAGUCUAGAAGAAAGUCAAUCAUGUUAAUCUCUAUUCAAGAUGAUCAAGCAUUGCUGUAGGAUAGUGUAUAGACAGUAUAGUGUAUAGACAGGGUAGUGAUAUUCUUGUUUUGGGGCUCUACUAGUAGAUACUCGAAUACUGGCAAAUCUUGGCCUUGGUUCUUCCCUCCUGCCUUUGCUUGUAUCUGAUUAGGCAGCUACCACUGCGUUUAUAAGCUAAGACUUUGCAAUUAGUAGGAUUUACCAGUAUACUUUGCAGUGCUUAGAUUCCAGAGCAAGGAAUAGCUAUUGUCCCUGUUGCCCAAAUAGAAUCAGAAGCGUACCCCAUGAGGAUGUUCAUCAGAGAGGACAGUCAGGAAAGAAGGGACAAAAUAUUAUAGUGCAUCAAGAGUGUUUAUUUUUGGUAAGAAAGGUAAUGGGGUUCUAGACACUGAUAAAAGCAGUGUUGUAAUAGAUCCACUGAAAAUGGAUGCCGAAACUUAUUUCUGCUUAAGAAAAAAACAACACAUGAACAAUCAAACAUGAAAUUUGGAGUAAAUGAAGGAUUUUGUUUGCACAUACACUGUUCAGGAAAGGAGUGUGGAUGGGACGGUGCUCUUAUGUUUAUUGAUACACAGGAAAACUCUUGAUAAUAAAUGUGGAUACUUGUCUUGAUUUAGCAAUGACAAAGAGAGGAAAGAGCUGGUUAAGAAACAGAAGAAAAAAGUAGCUUGUGAAAGAUUAACUUGAACUGAUUAAAUUCAUUAUUUGUAGGAAAUGAUGGAGGAAGAAUAACAAAAAGAGAAGAGAACAGCAGAAUACUAGAAUUCAGAAAACUUGUAGGAUGCCAUAGGAAGCAUUUUAGAAACCAAGAAGAAUUCGGUAAUGUUACCUGCUCUGUAGAGAAAAAGUGUGAAUCACUAAUUUGUACUUCCUUUUGCACUGGCACAUAGCAACAGACCUAUUUGACUAAGUCAGUACACUGCUAAUGACCUCAGAUCCAAGGAAAAAAAAAAAGUAUGAAGCGAGGUGAGAAUGUUAAGGAUAAGUAAGAAAGAGUGACACAGGCACAUGGAGUAGAAAAAAAAAAAAAAAAAGAGGAGUGUUUGAGACAUAAAACAAUAUCAAACCAGUGAAGGAGGUAAAAAUAUGUCCUCAUUAUCUUUCAUAUGGUUUUUAACAGGAGGAGGAUAUUGUUCCAGCAGUCAAUAAGAAGAGAAAAGUAACAAUAGUUGAUGCCAAGAGGAAUAAAGUAAUGAACUCUGCUUUUUUUCAAUGUAAGAGUGAGGUGAUACAAUGUGUAAUCCAGCAAUCCAGCACCUCUUCAGCAUGUUUGUGGUGAUUCACAGAGGUUAAAUGCAAUUCCAGAUGUUUUUUUUGUUUCAUCUUGUGUUUUUUUUUCUGUGAAGUGAGUUAUGUGAAACUGAGUAAUAGAAUUCUAUUUACCAGGAAAACUAGGAUAGAUGUAAUUUGUAAACAUCUGCAAGAUAGCAGAAUGAUGGUAAAAGCUAUUAGAAUUUUUCGAUAGGAUUUUUAUCAUGGUUCUUUCUGUGUCAUGAUUUGAGGUCGAGGGGACUGGGUUAAGAUGUUCUGUUUUAUAGGAUAUAGUUGCAGGGAUAGUGUGGAAUGAACUGGAAAAGUGAGAAGAAGGAUGCCAAUAGCUGUGAUUGUUCUCUGAUACACUGCCUAGGCAUCUAUUUUUGUCUCCUGAGGUGGUUAAAAUUUUCAACAGUGAUUUAAAGGAUUGAAUAAUAGAGAAUGCGUCCAUUACUUUCCCAGAUGGAUACCAAAGUGGGAUUGCAUGCAAGUUUUCUGGAGAACAGAAUUCCGAUUCAAAAUGAACAUGUCUUGAUUGGGAUACAGUCAUUGGCUUUGGGGAGUUCACUGCUCUUAAAUUUUCAUAUAGCCUACAUUUUUCUUGCAUCAAGGAUGCAGCUUCAAUUUCUCUUGUUCUCCUUCUUUCAAAUACUGAAUCAAAUUCAGAAUGUCAUUGAGCUUAAAAUACUUGGCCUACAGCCUCAUCCUAAAUGAAAUGCUUAAGUCUGAAGUUAUGACUGAAUGCAACAUGUCAGUCCUGAUGCUGCUGCAAGCACUGAAAUGAAAUGGCAUCUUUCCCCCACUUGUAGAACAGACCCAGAGCUGUAGUUUGCUAGAAUUGCCUUGAUACCAUGAAUGCUGCUUAAACCACCAGUGAACAUAAGUUUUACAUUGUAUGAAGUUGUGAAGUGAGCAGUAAAAAUGAAGGAGCCACAUUGUGGUUUUUCUUAAUGCUGUAAGCAUGGUAAAUUCAAAGGGAAAGAUGUGAAGACCAAAGAAAGGUGUAGCAGUAUCUUAAUGGCUCUUGUUAGUCACUGGGGCUCAGGCAUUAGAGCCUAUUGCCAAGUACUAGAUACAGUAAGUAAAAUAGGGUCAAAAGCAUUUAGAGAGCAUAUAG
Molecule: long non-coding RNA, 3343 nt
Organism: Gallus gallus (chicken)
Lineage: Eukaryota; Metazoa; Chordata; Aves; Galliformes; Phasianidae
Source: Ensembl